GUUUGAUCCUGGCUCAGGACGAACGCUGGCGGCGUGCCUAACACAUGCAAGUCGAGCGAAGGGAGUACUACGGUACGAACUUAGCGGCGGACGGGUGAGUAACGCGUGGCAUCUACCCUGUAGACUGGGAUAACACCUCGAAANNGGUGCUAAUACCGGAUCGAGAACGGCAUCGCUUUUCGAAAGGAGGGAAUCCGCUAUAGGAGGAGUCCGCGUCCCAUUAGCUAGUUGGUGAGGGUAACGGCCCACGGCGACGAUGGGUAGCCGGCCUGAGAGGGUGAACGGCCACACUGGAACUGAGACACGGUCCAGACUCCGAGGCAGCAGUGGGGAAUAUUGUGCAAUGGGGGAAACCCUGACACAGCGACGCCGCGUGAGUGAAGAAGGCCUUCGGGUCAAGCUCAAUAGUAUGGGAAGAAAGAAAUGACGGUACCAUACGAAAGCCCCGGCUAACUACGUGCCAGCAGCCGCGGUAAUACGUAGGGGGCGAGCGUUGUCCGGAAUUACUGGGCGUAAAGAGCACGUAGGCNNNUNUAAAAGUCACAUGUNNNAAANNNGGGCUCAACCGAGGGUAUGCAUCUGAAACUAAAUAGCUUGAGUCAAGGAGAGGAGAGCGGAAUUCCUGGUGUAGCGGAAUGCGUAGAGAUCAGGAAGAAUACCAGUGGC
Molecule: ribosomal RNA, 666 nt
Filed under: uncultured bacterium
Lineage: Bacteria
Description: bacterial SSU rRNA
Rfam family: Bacterial small subunit ribosomal RNA
Source: RNAcentral